CCCGUCUGAAGCGGGCCGCCGGCUUCCUGAGCGUCGCAGCGGCUCGGGCCCCAGUUUCUGCUUCCCAACUGCCAAGAGGCGCAGGGGCCACCUGCGUGUGUGACGCGGCCCCCGAAGGCCCCGGCUGCACAGACUCACACACUCGCGAAUGAAGAACUGGUUUUGCCUCGACGGAAGCACACCGCGUCGAUCCGUGCACCUCGUGUGGCCCAUCCUUUUUUUUUUUUACUGCAUCUGACGUCUUCAGAGAUGCGGCGAAGGAAGCGACGAACACAACGUGCGGCGGUGAAGAAAGUGUCUGAGUUGAAUUAUCGCUGCCUCGUGAACUUCUCGCCUGCCCCCAAGUCCUACAAGAGAGGCGUCAACAAGAUGAAUGACCUGUCAGUGUGGGAGUGAGGUGCAUUCCAGAGCUCAAGGCAUUCUUAAUACUCACCAGAUUUCUUAGGAAGAUUGUUACAGAAUGAUGACAUAAUUCAGACACAGGGACAACGUCUCCAUGUAGUAAUUCACGUUGUGUAAAUUCCUUUUCAAACUGGCCUUCGUUAGAUUGUCGACCUCUGACCUGAGUCACUACUUAUUGAUCAUGUCAACCAAAUCAGAGAUAAAUGGUGAAGUGAAAUUAGAUAUUUAGUUUGGCAUUUUAAAUAAGGUAUCGAUUAGAGAUUAGAGAUCAGAGAUCAGAGAUCAGGGAUCAGGGAGAUCACUUUUGACGAAUGCAAAGCACCAAAGAAACUUUGGAUUGAAAGCUGGAAGGAGCUAAAAUGACGUGGAUCACUUCUCUGUUUGGUUAAAGUAAGACUCAAGGAGUUGAAUAACUAAACACAAGUCACAGCUCAGGCUGACGGCUUGACCUUUUGAUCUUAUGAUGGUGCGAGUCCAUAAAUAAUCAUCAAGCUGAUGACACAUUUAACUCAAAACCCCAAAUGUAGAGGAGAUAUCAUGAAGUCGUAACCGCGUCAGUAGUUCAGAUGCAGCCCAAAUUAGUUCAUUGGUCCAUUUAUCCCAAACCUCAUGAUGGCUACAUAGUUCAAACCCAACGCAACAACGUCGGUAAUUACCGAGAGCGUUUUCAUACUCGAACAUUUGGAAAUGUUAUGUUCAAAUGUCUCAGGCAGCUGAUUUAAAAAAAAACAACAACAACAUCUGAACCUUUAAUUAAGAAGUAGGAAAACCGGAAAAAUAUGAUUUGAGUUGAGCAAGGGGACAGAGAUGAUGAUGAUAUGAGGGAGAAUAAAUGAACGCAUGGAUCAUUUGUUUGAGGUAAUUGCCAGUAAGCCUCGGCCAUUCAGCGGAAAACAGCACUUUGAAAUGAAAUAGAAACCUUUGGAAAGGAGCCAUUUUUCAAGUAUACCAGCAAUCACUCUCAUCUGGAAACAUUCUCAUUUUUUUAGCUGCAUACCUUGC
Molecule: long non-coding RNA, 1404 nt
Organism: Gasterosteus aculeatus aculeatus (three-spined stickleback)
Lineage: Eukaryota; Metazoa; Chordata; Actinopteri; Perciformes; Gasterosteidae
Source: Ensembl